AUACGUCCUCGUUAGGUGAGGCUCCUAUAUAAACACAGGCCACUGCCCAGAAAUAUCGAAAGAUGCCCAUGGGUAGAACAGGGAUUGCCGGAUUAAGGCUUUUCAUAAAGUGGCUAAGAGAAAAUUUGUUCUCUUUACGUUAUAUAGUGCCAAAACUCGACUAGGGGGAAACGA
RNAcentral lists this small RNA (174 nucleotides) under Paenibacillus sp. Its description in RNAcentral is "Magnesium sequence". It matches the Rfam family "M-box riboswitch aptamer (ykoK leader)". Rfam says of the family: M-box riboswitch, also know as ykoK leader is described as a metaloregulatory RNA that sense divalent metals and function as a genetic control element of genes related to divalent metal transport in bacteria. It was first reported upstream of the B.subtilis ykoK gene and genes with related functions in other bacteria. Phylogenetic analysis of the distribution of M-box RNAs across bacterial genomes revealed that M-box riboswitches are most often employed for the regulation of Mg2+ transporter genes RNAcentral also lists the same sequence under 1 other name. Lineage: Bacteria; Bacillati; Bacillota; Bacilli; Caryophanales; Paenibacillaceae. The record is from RNAcentral.